Ooceraea biroi (clonal raider ant) is the source of this 1798-nucleotide long non-coding RNA. RefSeq lists it as uncharacterized. The record is from RefSeq and is a predicted model, not a curated record. NCBI's taxonomy places the organism in Eukaryota, Metazoa, Arthropoda, Insecta, Hymenoptera, Formicidae.
GAAAGCGUAGACUUCCAGUUUGUGAAUAAUAUCGGUACCUAUAAAGAAUGUAAUUACCUGCAAGAACUUACGCGAAAAUUAGGGAACAAUUGCGGUUCGAGAAAAUUGAUCGACUACAGCAUGCCGAAAGUGCUCACAUGCCGGCGUCUGCGGUUCUAACAAAACAUGUCAACACGAUCGUUUCCUUCAGGAGAAAAAAAAAUGUGAAAGGGAAAGCGUGUGCGGACUGGCGGGUAUCCUUGAUCGGGCGAACUUUUUCUCCGCUGAAGUUGCACAGUCAACGCGAUCGUCGAAUAUGAUAAGUGUUUUUCUCAUUCAGUAAUUUGCAUAAACAAACGUCAUCAUAUUUGCAAAACUAUUUAAUAUAUUUAUUAAUUUUGUAUAAAAAAAAUAGUCUAGACAAUAAAAUAUGUAUGAAAUAGGAGGAAAAUAAUUUCAUAUGUACAUUAAUUUUAAACUGAUUAGAAAUCUUACUAUCCCACAAGGUUAGGGGGAAGCUUUAAUUUACAACAAUGAUCAGAUUUCAUAAUCAAUUUUUAUGAAAAAAAUUGUAUAAGAAAAUUGAGCCAGACAGUCUUCUCCGCAUUUACAUUGGCUGGAUUCCACGUUUGCGGAGGAGAUGCGCAAUGCUGUAGAUGAACUUUUAUUUUUCCGCUUGCACACCUGGCCGAUGAACGGCGAUCAGGUAGCGUGGCGAGAGAAUGAGCACGUAGGGCACGCGGCUACAAGGGCGAAGUAAGGGAGGCUCGGUCGGGAGGGUGUGUUCGCCGGCGGGCUGGAGAACAGAUACUCGCCGUAGGCGUCGUACGUUCAUUGAUAAGCGUAUAACGCCCCUUAGACCCGAUGACGUCACCAAACGCCUGCGCAGGGUCGCAUCGAGUCCUGAAUCGCAGUGACGUCCAUUGGCGUCGCGACGCGACCGGUUUCUGCGUUUUGUGAGGGAGAAAUAUCCUUUCUCAUAUAAAUUCCAUGUAUUUACUUGUAGGCUUGUAUUUUAUCGAUAUCUCCGAUGAUUAAAAGCAGAAGCUGAUGAAUUGGAGCUAUUGUUUAUUUAAAUAUAUGAUUUACUUAAUGAUAUAACGAUUUUGUAAGAACUAAAAAGUAAAUUUCGUAGACUGUAUGGCAAUGCGAUGAAACUCUCAGUUUAUCAUUAGCUUUAUUAAAAUUAUCGUCAUAUAUUCAAUAGUGUAUUUUUUAAAUAUAUUUUUCGUGAAUCUGAUCAAUUAAGCUGUUUCAGGCCAUCAAUUCAUUACAGAUUAUUAAAGUGGAUGGAGAAUGAUGCUUACAUAUUAUUGAACAAUGAUCAGAAUAAUUAUUCUGCACAUUAUCCAUAAAUAAUCAGAAGACGCACCGUUUUAGGUAAAAUUUCUGACUGACAGGAAGAAUAUUCAGAAUCUUCGAGAAACGAAGUUGGCACGUUCCUGCUGAUUCCACGACGUCGUUUUCGACCGCGAGAGAGACAUUGCCACCCUCACUCGCGGGAGUUUUGGACAGACGUACGUGCGUGCGUGCGUGCGUACAAUGUCGUGUUAAAAUUAGACUACUUCCCCGAAACUUCGCGGAUCCCCACCUCUUCCUGCCUUCGUGACUUUUCGCGAUGGCCGAUGGCUCGUUCGCGCGGAAAAGUUGCACGAGAGGAGAAAGCACGACGGGUCAGAAUGAAACGAAUGGGAGGGAGUCAAGGAACAGAGCUAGAUAAAUGAAAUAAAUGUGGGCGGUGGAAAUGAGGAGGCGGAGGAGGAAGAGGCGAGAAGCAGUGGAGGGCUGAUGGCGGGAGAAAACGGCGACAGGUAAAAAA